Molecule: ribosomal RNA, 406 nt
Filed under: uncultured bacterium
Lineage: Bacteria
Description: partial 16S ribosomal RNA
Rfam family: Bacterial small subunit ribosomal RNA
Source: RNAcentral
AUUGAACGCUGGCGGCAGGCCCAACACAUGCAAGUCGAACGAGUGGCGGACGGGUGAGUAACGUCUGGGAAAAUGCCUGAUGGAGGGGGAUAACUACUGGAAACGGUAGCUAAUACCGCAUACCAGCAGAUGUGCCCAGAUGGGAUAAGCUUGUUGGUGGGGUAACGGCUUACCUAGGCGACGAUCCCUAGCUGGUCUGAGAGGAUGACCAGCAACACUGGAACUGAGCCACGGUCCAGACUCCUACGGGAGGCUGCUGUUGGGUAUAUUGCACGAUGGGUGCAAGCCUGAUGCAGCCAUGCCGCGUGUAUGAAGAAGGCCUUCGGGUUGUAAAGUACUUUCAGCGGGGCGGCGUUACCCGCAGAAGGAGCACCGGCUAACUCCGUGCCAGCGGCCGCGGGAAUAC